This 739-nucleotide long non-coding RNA is filed under the name Homo sapiens (human). Its description in RNAcentral is "HSALNT0027427". Lineage: Eukaryota; Metazoa; Chordata; Mammalia; Primates; Hominidae. The record is from RNAcentral.
AGAGCCCUGAGUUCAAAUGCCAGCUCUGCUGUGUGACCCUGGCAGGUUACUCACCUUCUCUGAGCCUCCCUUUUCCAACAGGUAUAAUGGAAAUAUGACCUACCUUAUGGGCUGGUGUGAUGGGGAAAUGGCUUAACAAACAAAUGAGAUGCCUGCAACCCCCAAAAGUCCCUUCCUGUCCCCUUUCACCAUAUCUCCUCCCCUUCCUCAGUCUCAGGGGCCUGUAGCACCCCUUCCCCCGGCCUUGAUUGCUCUCGGGGGACCACUGUGUGGGUUGCUUUCACCAUGUGGACAGUAAUCCUCUGAGUGGCUCCCUCCCCAGGCACUUCCGCAUUCCUGAUCUGCCUUUUCCCUGAGCUUCCGAAGACUUUCUCCCCGGGAAGAAGCACAGCUGAACUGAGAAUGAACAACCUCAAGGGGGGGCUCCCCGCUGGAUUGCCCCUGCCUGACACCCCAUGCUGGCAACCAGAGGCUGAUUCUGCCCGACUGCCUCCAGCUCCUCGAGUGUUCAGCCUGGGUUCCAGAGGGAGGCCAUACAGCCCCGUCAGAGACCACCAGGGAAGUAUCACAGACCGCAGCCAGCGGGUGAGCUCAGCUGGGAGUUUGCACCAAGCCUGGCUCCGGAGUGUGGCCUGACUGACGCAGGCUGGGACCACCCUACAUGGGCCGGCAGAAAUGGCCAUAGCGAACUACCGUGCGUCCAACCUGAGACACCUGGGGAUGGUGGAGCCAGGGGAGA